GGUUCAGGAUGAACGCUAGCUACAGGCUUAACACAUGCAAGUCGAGGGGCAGCAUGAGCUUAGCUUGCUAAGCUUGAUGGCGACCGGCGCACGGGUGAGUAACGCGUAUCCAACCUUCCCCUUAGUAGGGCAUAGCCCGGUGAAAAUCGGAUUAAUACCCUAUGUUCUUCACAGCGGACAUCUAACGUGAAGCAAAGGUUCACCGCUAAGGGAUGGGGAUGCGUCUGAUUAGGUAGUCGGCGGGGUAACGGCCCACCGAGCCAUCGAUCAGUAGGGGUUCUGAGAGGAAGGUCCCCCACAUUGGAACUGAGACACGGUCCAAACUCCUACGGGAGGCAGCAGUGAGGAAUAUUGGUCAAUGGGCGCGAGCCUGAACCAGCCAAGUAGCGUGCAGGAUGACGGCCCUAUGGGUUGUAAACUGCUUUUAUGCGGGGAUAAAGUCACCCACGUGUGGGUGUUUGCAGGUACCGCAUGAAUAAGGACCGGCUAAUUCCGUGCCAGCCGCCGC
This 508-nucleotide ribosomal RNA is filed under the name uncultured bacterium. RNAcentral describes it as "bacterial SSU rRNA". It matches the Rfam family "Bacterial small subunit ribosomal RNA", at positions 21 to 518 of the family's 1533-position model. The record is from RNAcentral.